UACGUAGGGUGCGAGCGUUGUCCGGAAUUAUUGGGCGUAAAGAGCUCGUAGGCGGUUUGUCGCGUCUGCUGUGAAAACCUAAGGCUCAACCUUGGGCUUGCAGUGGGUACGGGCAGACUAGAGUGCGGUAGGGGUGACUGGAAUUCCUGGUGUAGCGGUGGAAUGCGCAGAUAUCAGGAGGAACACCGAUGGCGAAGGCAGGUCACUGGGCCGCAACUGACGCUGAGGAGCGGAAAGCAUGGGGAGCGAACAGG
RNAcentral lists this ribosomal RNA (254 nucleotides) under uncultured bacterium. Its description in RNAcentral is "partial 16S ribosomal RNA". It matches the Rfam family "Bacterial small subunit ribosomal RNA", at positions 524 to 776 of the family's 1533-position model. The record is from RNAcentral.